ACAGGCUUAACACAUGCAAGUCGAGGGGAAACGACAUUGAAAGCUUGCUUUUGAUGGGCGUCGACCGGCGCACGGGUGAGUAACGCGUAUCCAACCUGCCCACCACUUGGGGAUAACCUUGCGAAAGUAAGACUAAUACCCAAUGAUAUCUCUAGAAGACAUCUGAAAGAGAUUAAAGAUUUAUCGGUGAUGGAUGGGGAUGCGUCUGAUUAGCUUGUUGGCGGGGUAAUGGCCCACCAAGGCAACGAUCAGUAGGGGUUCUGAGAGGAAGGUCCCCCACAUUGGAACUGAGACACGGUCCAAACUCCUACGGGAGGCAGCAGUGAGGAAUAUUGGUCAAUGGGCGAGAGCCUGAACCAGCCAAGUAGCGUGCAGGAAGACGGCCCUAUGGGUUGUAAACUGCUUUUAUAAGGGAAUAAAGUGAGUCUCGUGAGACUUUUUGCAUGUACCUUAUGAAUAAGGACCGGCUAAUUCCGUGCCAGCAGCCGCGGUAAUACGGAAGGUCCGGGCGUUAUCCGGAUUUAUUGGGUUUAAAGGGAGCGUAGGCCGGAGAUUAAGCGUGUUGUGAAAUGUAGAUGCUCAACAUCUGAACUGCAGCGCGAACUGGUUUCCUUGAGUACGCACAAAGUGGGCGGAAUUCGUGGUGUAGCGGUGAAAUGCUUAGAUAUCACGAAGAACUCCGAUUGCGAAGGCAGCUCACUGGAGCGCAACUGACGCUGAAGCUCGAAAGUGCGGGUAUCGAACAGGAUUAGAUACCCUGGUAGUCCGCACGGUAAACGAUGGAUGCCCGCUGUUGGUCUGAAUAGGUCAGCGGCCAAGCGAAAGCAUUAAGCAUCCCACCUGGGGAGUACGCCGGCAACGGUGAAACUCAAAGGAAUUGACGGGGGCCCGCACAAGCGGAGGAACAUGUGGUUUAAUUCGAUGAUACGCGAGGAACCUUACCCGGGCUUGAAUUGCAGAGGAAGGAUUUGGAGACAAUGACGCCCUUCGGGGCCUCUGUGAAGGUGCUGCAUGGUUGUCGUCAGCUCGUGCCGUGAGGUGUCGGCUUAAGUGCCAUAACGAGCGCAACCCCUCUCCUUAGUUGCCAUCAGGUUAAGCUGGGCACUCUGGGGACACUGCCACCGUAAGGUGUGAGGAAGGUGGGGAUGAC
Molecule: ribosomal RNA, 1150 nt
Filed under: uncultured bacterium
Lineage: Bacteria
Description: bacterial SSU rRNA
Rfam family: Bacterial small subunit ribosomal RNA
Source: RNAcentral